CAGUCGCCACGGGAAUACCGAGGGUGCAAGCGUUAAUCGGAAUUACUGGGCGUAAAGCGCGCGUAGGUGGUUCGCCAAGUUGGAUGUGAAAUCCCCGGGCUCAACCUGGGAACUGCAUCCAAAACUGGCGAGCUAGAGUAUGGUAGAGGGUGGUGGAAUUUCCUGUGUAGCGGUGAAAUGCGUAGAUAUAGGAAGGAACAUCAGUGGCGAAGGCGACCACCUGGACUGAUACUGACACUGAGGUGCGAAAGCGUGGGGAGCAAACAGGAUUAGAUACCCCCGUAGUCCCUGUCUCUUAUAC
RNAcentral lists this ribosomal RNA (301 nucleotides) under uncultured bacterium. RNAcentral's name for it is "partial 16S ribosomal RNA". It matches the Rfam family "Bacterial small subunit ribosomal RNA", at positions 509 to 807 of the family's 1533-position model. The record is from RNAcentral.